Molecule: ribosomal RNA, 251 nt
Filed under: uncultured bacterium
Lineage: Bacteria
Description: partial 16S ribosomal RNA
Rfam family: Bacterial small subunit ribosomal RNA
Source: RNAcentral
UACGUAGGUGGCAAGCGUUGUCCGGAUUUAUUGGGCGUAAAGGGCGCGCAGGCGGCCUCUUAAGUCUGAUGUGAAAUCUUGUGGCUUAACCACAAGCGGUCAUUGGAAACUGAGAAGCUUGAGUGCAGAAGAGGAGAGUGGAAUUCCACGUGUAGCGGUGAAAUGCGUAGAGAUGUGGAGGAACACCAGUGGCGAAGGCGACUCUCUGGUCUGUAACUGACGCUGAGGCGCGAAAGCGUGGGGAGCGAACA